Molecule: ribosomal RNA, 303 nt
Filed under: uncultured bacterium
Lineage: Bacteria
Description: partial 16S ribosomal RNA
Rfam family: Bacterial small subunit ribosomal RNA
Source: RNAcentral
AGCAGUCGCCGCGGGAAUACGAAGGGUGCAAGCGUUACUCGGAAUUACUGGGCGUAAAGCGUGCGUAGGUGGUGGUUUAAGUCCGUUGUGAAAGCCCUGGGCUCAACCUGGGAAUUGCAGUGGAUACUGGGUCACUAGAGUGUGGUAGAGGAUAGUGGAAUUUCCGGUGUAGCAGUGAAAUGCGUAGAGAUCGGAAGGAACAUCUGUGGCGAAGGCGACUAUCUGGGCCAACACUGACACUGAGGCACGAAAGCGUGGGGAGCAAACAGGAUUAGAUACCCCCAGUAGUCCCUGUCUCUUAUA